RNAcentral lists this ribosomal RNA (1345 nucleotides) under Psychrobacter sp. RNAcentral's name for it is "bacterial SSU rRNA". It matches the Rfam family "Bacterial small subunit ribosomal RNA", at positions 76 to 1420 of the family's 1533-position model. The record is from RNAcentral. Lineage: Bacteria; Pseudomonadati; Pseudomonadota; Gammaproteobacteria; Moraxellales; Moraxellaceae.
GCUUGCUAGAAGAUGACGAGCGGCGGACGGGUGAGUAAUACUUAGGAAUCUACCUAGUAGUGGGGGAUAGCUCGGGGAAACUCGAAUUAAUACCGCAUACGACCUACGGGAGAAAGGGGGCAACUUGUUGCUCUCGCUAUUAGAUGAGCCUAAGUCGGAUUAGCUAGAUGGUGGGGUAAAGGCCUACCAUGGCGACGAUCUGUAGCUGGUCUGAGAGGAUGAUCAGCCACACCGGGACUGAGACACGGCCCGGACUCCUACGGGAGGCAGCAGUGGGGAAUAUUGGACAAUGGGGGAAACCCUGAUCCAGCCAUGCCGCGUGUGUGAAGAAGGCCUUUUGGUUGUAAAGCACUUUAAGCAGUGAAGAAGACUCUUCGGUUAAUACCCGGAGACGAUGACAUUAGCUGCAGAAUAAGCACCGGCUAACUCUGUGCCAGCAGCCGCGGUAAUACAGAGGGUGCAAGCGUUAAUCGGAAUUACUGGGCGUAAAGCGAGCGUAGGUGGCUUGAUAAGUCAGAUGUGAAAUCCCCGGGCUUAACCUGGGAACUGCAUCUGAUACUGUCAGGCUAGAGUAGGUGAGAGGAAGGUAGAAUUCCAGGUGUAGCGGUGAAAUGCGUAGAGAUCUGGAGGAAUACCGAUGGCGAAGGCAGCCUUCUGGCAUCAUACUGACACUGAGGCUCGAAAGCGUGGGUAGCAAACAGGAUUAGAUACCCUGGUAGUCCACGCCGUAAACGAUGUCUACUAGUCGUUGGGUCCCUUGAGGACUUAGUGACGCAGCUAACGCAAUAAGUAGACCGCCUGGGGAGUACGGCCGCAAGGUUAAAACUCAAAUGAAUUGACGGGGGCCCGCACAAGCGGUGGAGCAUGUGGUUUAAUUCGAUGCAACGCGAAGAACCUUACCUGGUCUUGACAUAUCUAGAAUCCUGCAGAGAUGCGGGAGUGCCUUCGGGAAUUAGAAUACAGGUGCUGCAUGGCUGUCGUCAGCUCGUGUCGUGAAUGUUGGGUUAAGUCCCGCAACGAGCGCAACCCUUGUCCUUAGUUACCAGCGGGUUAAGCCGGGAACUCUAAGGAUACUGCCAGUGACAAACUGGAGGAAGGCGGGGACGACGUCAAGUCAUCAUGGCCCUUACGACCAGGGCUACACACGUGCUACAAUGGUAGGUACAGAGGGCAGCUACACAGCGAUGUGAUGCGAAUCUCAAAAAGCCUAUCGUAGUCCAGAUUGGAGUCUGCAACUCGACUCCAUGAAGUAGGAAUCGCUAGUAAUCGCGGAUCAGAAUGCCGCGGUGAAUACGUUCCCGGGCCUUGUACACACCGCCCGUCACACCAUGGGAGUUGAUUGCAC